RNAcentral lists this long non-coding RNA (274 nucleotides) under Brassica napus (rape). RNAcentral's name for it is "long non-coding RNA (BNAP_LNC023448)". The record is from RNAcentral. Lineage: Eukaryota; Viridiplantae; Streptophyta; Magnoliopsida; Brassicales; Brassicaceae.
UAAAAACAAAACUCAUUGUAUUUCAAAUAGUUACAAGUAAUCAAGUAUUUUAGAAAGUAACUAUUAGAUUUGAAAAGUAACAGGUAGGAUCAAAUACUUUGUAUGUACUAAAAAAUUUGUCCUAAAUACUUAUUGUAAGGGGAAUUGGGCUCUAUAGCUACGAAAUAAACCAUAAUUAAAUAUCUAACAAAAAAAAAAGCACCUUCAAUAUUUCUGUAUUAUAUACUAUAUUACCCCUACUCUUCCGGUUAAUGAAAGAGAAACUAUCACACUC